This 1485-nucleotide ribosomal RNA is filed under the name metagenome. Its description in RNAcentral is "bacterial LSU rRNA". It matches the Rfam family "Bacterial large subunit ribosomal RNA", at positions 1367 to 2925 of the family's 2925-position model. The record is from RNAcentral.
CGUCCGCCCAAGGUAAGCCGGGAGCUAAGGCGAGGCCGCAAGGCGUAGUCGAUGCACAUACGGUAGAAAUUCCGUAGCCACCGAACCUUAAACCAGAAGGACACUUUGAGAUAGCGGAACCCAGCCGUUGGUUGAGCUGGGCGAAAGGGACUGAAAUAUAGUAGGGAAGUCCGCGAUGCUCAGAGGCGAGAAAAGCUCUGGUGUAUGCUAAGGUGCCCGUACCGCAAACCGACACAGGUAGAUGAGGAGAGAAUCCUAAGGCCAACGGGAGAAGGGUUGUUAAGGAACUCGGCAAAUUGACCCCGUAACUUCGGAAUAAGGGGAGCCUCGAAAGAGGCCGCAGUGAAUAGGCCCAAGCAACUGUUUACCAAAAACACAGGUCUAUGCUAAAUCGAAAGAUGACGUAUAUGGGCUGACGCCUGCCCGGUGCCGGAAGGUUAAGAGGAGGGCUUAGAGGAAACUCGAAGGUCUGAAUUGAAGCCCCGGUAAACGGCGGCCGUAACAAUAACGGUCCUAAGGUAGCGAAAUUCCUUGUCAGGUAAGUUCUGACCCGCACGAAUGGCGUAAUGAUUUGGGCACUGUCUCGACAGCCCGCCCGGCGAAAUUGUAGUACUGGUGAAGAUGCCAGUUACCCGCAACUAGACGGAAAGACCCCAUGGAGCUUUACUGCAGUUUAAUACUGGGAAUCGGUAAUUCAUGUACAGGAUAGGUGGGAGACUGAGAAGCAUGGCCGUCAGGUCAUGUGGAGUCGCCGGUGGGAUACCACUCUUGGAUUGCUGGUUUCCUAACCUGCGGCCCUGAAUCGGGUCGGGGGACACUGUUAGACGGGCAGUUUGACUGGGGCGGUCGCCUCCAAAAGAGUAACGGAGGCGCUCAAAGGUUCGUUCAGCACGGACGGAAAUCGUGCACUGAGUGUAAACGCAUAAACGAGCCUAACUGCGAGACCGACGGGUCGAGCAGUAACGAAAGUUGGAGUUAGUGAUCCGGUGGUAUGUGAGUGGAAAUGCCAUCGCUCAACGGAUAAAAGCUACCCUGGGAUAACAGGCUGAUCUCCCCCAAGCGUCCACAGCGACGGGGAGGUUUGGCACCUCGAUGUCGGCUCGUCGCAUCCUGGGGCUGUAUUCGGUCCCAAGGGUUUGGCUGUUCGCCAAUUAAAGCGGCACCGAGCUGGGUUCAGAACGUCGUGAGACAGUUCGGUCCCUAUCUGUUGCGGGCGUAAGAGAUUUGAAGGGAGCUGUCCUUAGUACGAGAGGACCGGGAUGGACGUACCUCUGGUGCACCAGUUGUUCUGCCAAGGGCAUAGCUGGGUAGCUAAGUACGGACGAGAUAAACGCUGAAAGCAUCUAAGCGUGAAACUCUCCCUAAGAUGAGAUCUCUCAUCCUUUAUGGAGUAAGGGCCCAGAGAGACGAUCUGGUUGAUAGGCCGGAGGUGAAAGUGCAGUAAUGUAUGCAGCUGACCGGUACUAAUAGCCCGAGGGCUUGUUC